Cinara cedri is the source of this 297-nucleotide non-coding RNA. The record is from the annotation of a GenBank genome assembly. NCBI's taxonomy places the organism in Eukaryota, Metazoa, Arthropoda, Insecta, Hemiptera, Aphididae.
CUUCCCCCGGGAAUCUCGUAGGUUAAGUCAUCGCAUCUUAUCGUGAUGACUCUGCAAUCACCACGACACCGUUGCCGUGUAUAGAUCGAAGGAUCGCCCGAUCGAAAAAUCGGCCCCGUACGGUCGUAAAUAAUUUAUACGUUCUUAUAUAAUAAUAAUAAUAAAAAUAGUAAUAUAUAUAUACAUAGUAAUAUGAAAUAUUGGGAGACAGGCGAACAGUACAGGGGAGGGAGAGCUCGGCAUAGCAGAUAUUGAUGGACUCGAUUGUUUUGGCCGUACACGUCCGAAAUAAAGCGA